ACAGAUAGCCAUAUGUUGAUACAGACAGGGCAGAUAGAGGUUUACCUGUAUAACCAGGAGCACAGAGGCAGUUGUAUCCACCAGUUCUGCUGACACAAUCUUCUCCAUCUAGACAAGUGGACAGAACAUACAUGCCAAGGACAAGCAGAAGAAGUGAGUUGCUUCCUAAUUGCCGGGAUCCAGUUUUCAGGUCAACACAAGGUCAUAUCGUCUCAAUGACUUCCUUCAACAAACUUCUAGAUAUACUUCCCCUUAAAUGUUCUUUAUGUGGGAAAUUAAAAAAAAAUGAAUGUAUUGGGGAAAAUAAUUAAUAAAACUUUGAUAAAUACUA
Felis catus (domestic cat) is the source of this 331-nucleotide long non-coding RNA. RefSeq lists it as uncharacterized. The transcript is spliced from 2 exons. The record is from RefSeq and is a predicted model, not a curated record. Lineage: Eukaryota; Metazoa; Chordata; Mammalia; Carnivora; Felidae.